CAGCAAAGUUGUCAAACUAAAAUGGCAAAUACUUUGGAUAAAGCUUGGCAAGAGUAAUGGUGCAAUUUUCCGUCCCUCUCAAUUAUAUCUGUUUGAAGAUGACCUUGAACAAAUUGCUAUAUU
Small nucleolar RNA from Elaeis guineensis (African oil palm), 123 nucleotides. The record is from RefSeq and is a predicted model, not a curated record. NCBI's taxonomy places the organism in Eukaryota, Viridiplantae, Streptophyta, Magnoliopsida, Arecales, Arecaceae.